GACGAACGCUGGCGGCGUGCUUAACACAUGCAAGUCGAACGGAAAGGCCCUGCUUUUGUGGGGUGCUCGAGUGGCGAACGGGUGAGUAACACGUGAGUAACCUGCCCUUGACUUUGGGAUAACUUCAGGAAACUGGGGCUAAUACCGGAUAGGAGCUCCUGCUGCAUGGUGGGGGUUGGAAAGUUUCGGCGGUUGGGGAUGGACUCGCGGCUUAUCAGCUUGUUGGUGGGGUAGUGGCUUACCAAGGCUUUGACGGGUAGCCGGCCUGAGAGGGGGACCGGCCACAUUGGGACUGAGAUACGGCCCAGACUCCUACGGGAGGCAGCAGUGGGGAAUAUUGCACGAUGGGCGGAAGCCUGAUGCAGCAACGCCGCGUGCGGGAUGACGGCCUUCGGGUUGUAAACCGCUUUCGCCUGUGACGAAGCGUGAGUGACGGUAAUGGGUAAAGAAGCACCGGCUAACUACGUG
RNAcentral lists this ribosomal RNA (468 nucleotides) under uncultured bacterium. RNAcentral describes it as "partial 16S ribosomal RNA". It matches the Rfam family "Bacterial small subunit ribosomal RNA", at positions 28 to 507 of the family's 1533-position model. The record is from RNAcentral.